RNA transcript from Brassica rapa (field mustard), 7294 nucleotides. It is a transcript of the gene named cTAGE family member 4, with no coding region annotated. The record is from RefSeq and is a predicted model, not a curated record. NCBI's taxonomy places the organism in Eukaryota, Viridiplantae, Streptophyta, Magnoliopsida, Brassicales, Brassicaceae.
AAUAAUUUCCAGAAAUUCAUUUUACAAAAAUCUUAAAAAGAUUUUGUUAGAAAGAAAUAUCCAUUUCUAUUUCAAAUAAAAUAAAAUAAAAAAUCUUAUCCAACUUUGUGUAUUUCAAGCAAUUUUUCAUAUAAGUUUUUUACUACAAAAUUACUUUGCAUGUACAAUAUAUUAUAGUUUCCUUUUUAAAAAUAGGUUUUGUUAUUUUUAACAAUAUCUCAAAAUAUUUAUUUUAUAUUAUGUAGGCCUGAUUUAAUAUGACUCCCAUAUAUAUUUCGAAUUUAUAAAUAAAAUUAAAAAUUAUUUAAAAUAGUAUUGUUACAUAAUAAUGUUCUGAAAAUAAAUUUUGUUACAAAAUGUAUAGUAAUAACAAUAUAAACCACUUAAAUAUUGGUAUUAUAGAGUUAUAAUUAACAUAUAGGUAAUUUAGUGAUAAAUUUUGUUAUAUAAACUAAAAUGUUUUAGUAUAUAUAAAGAGAAAAAACUUGUACGAAUGUGCGGAUGACUAAGUUGUUUUCUUAUGAUACAUUAGUUUCCAGAAUAAUAAAUCUAACUUUAUUUUUUUCUUUUGAUGCUCUUUAAAAUUAAGUUUCUCAAUUAUAACACGAAUAUUUAAACAUUGGACAGCCCAAAAAAUCAUUCUUGAAUGGUGAUGAAUUAAUUAUCUAUAUCAAAGAGCAACUCGAAUUAGGUCUAUACGUCCUUGCAAAUCAUAAACCCUAAUACACAAACCUUCUUGUAUAAUAAAAUACUAGAUUUUUCAUGUGCAGGUAGAUUUUCAUUUUACAAAUAUAUAACAGAUACCAUCGCAAAACUUUCAAAGAUAUAAUUUACAUUUUAGUGUUAUAUAUUGUGUAAAUCUAUAAUGUUAUUGGUUAUGUUUUUUAUUCGAUAUUAUUAAUGUAUAGUGAUUUGUUUUAUACAGUUUACUUUAUUAUUGAUUGUUAUUAUAUAUUAAUAUAUAUUCGAGUUUGGUAAAAUAAAUUCAUAGUAUGAAAUAAACAAAUAGAAAAUCUCCUUCAUUUUUCUAUACAUAUCACCAAUUUAUCAUCAAAUAAUUGACAUGUCGUUCGCGUUUGGUAGUAUGGGAGUUGACAACUUAGUAUCUCAGUGCAUAAGUUCGUAAAGAACGUUCUCUGUUAAACAACCGAGUUAUGCAUGGAUCACUAUGUCUAUCGGCUUUGAUUCAUGUUAACAUGAUAGAUCGAUCAAAACUCACUCAUCCAUCAAGUUAAUUGGUAUAGAUCCAGAUCACUAAUCUAAAUAAAAAAUGAUAUGCCUAAUUCUGAAUUAACACGUAUAAUAUAUUAAACACUCAUUAUUGGGGCAAAUGAUACCGUCCCCGUGGGUGAUUUCCAGGGUUUAUACGUAUGUGGUGACGUUUUCUCUUUUUCGCUUAAAUUAUGUAAACGUUGACUUCUGUUUAAUUUUAUAUAUUGGAAUUCUUACAACAUCACUCUUUGUUAUUACUAAUUCAAUGAUUACACUAACCUUUUUUUUUAACUUCAGAAACAGAAUAUAGGUUAGAUAAUUUUCCUGGUAAAAAAAAAAGUUAUAUAAUUACAAGAUUGGUGUAAGAUAUUAUUUUGGAUUUUCUACACAGAAGUAGAUCACUGAAUAGCUUUUAAGUUUUAGUAACUUUUAUUCACUUUCAUUUGUAUGUUAGUCACGGUUUUCUUAUAUCACUUUAAAUUCGUAUGUAUCAGUUAAUUUAAAUUUAAAACUUUGGUACAUUAUAGAAUAAAAAUAAAUGUAAUAUUAGGUAUUAACUAUUAAGGUAGAUAAAAAAGUGCAAUCAGUGAAAGAGGCCUAAACAAAGGGAGACCGAGAGAGCGUAGAAAUUUAUAGAAAAGAGCAUGCGACUCGAACAUAUCAUAUGAAAAUAAAAACUCACAAACUUAACCACUAACUCAAAAGUAGUCUAAGUAGAUAAAACCAUCUGAGCAGCAUAUUAAGUAAUGUAUAUCGUUAGGGCACCAGCUAGCUUCUGUAAGCUAAUUAUGCUAUUGAAUAUGCACAAUAACACAUCGUUGGUAGAGUCUUAUCACACUAAAUCAUACUAUAGACUAGUGAAGAUAUACUAAGAUAUCAUGAAAUUAUGUUUUACAAAUUCACUUUUCAAUAGGUUUGAACAUCUAUUCACAAAAAUACCAUAUGGAAUAAUUGUUUAAAAGUCAUUGAAAUGAUUUUUGUUCAUUUGAUUGAAUCUUACCAAGUACAAUCAUUAAUGCUAAAUCCGAGAACACGGUUGUGUGAAUGGAAAUAAAAAUAGACAGAGGCAAAUAUGUGGAACCCAGUAGUGUAAUUAGAGGUUAUAGUUAGUGACGACAUAUAACUAUCAUAUGAAAUCACACUAUCUAUUUAUUGGUCCCUAAUAGCUCAACAAAUAACUAGUUUAGCUAUUAAAGAACUUGCUCGUUCCAUUGUACUAUUUGAAAACCUAUACUCACUUUAAGUGAUGUAUAGUUCAAGUAUUAGGGUAUAUACAAUAAUAUAAAUAUAGAUAAAAAUUAAUUAUAACAAACUGCUUAAACUCAAGCCAAAUGCGUAAAAUUGUCAAUAGCGUUUCAGUUGGGUAUUAAGAUUCAAAAUCUCUAAUUUGUUUGAUUGUACACCCAACACAUAAGCAUCAAUAUUAUUAUAUAUGCUAACUAUUGACCUUUAAUUUUGGGUUAUGGUCACCAAAUUCUACCGUUAACAUGUUCAGAGAUCCGUAUUCUCCCUCGUAGGACUCGAUCAUAAGAUAGCUAGUGAAGUAAGUGGAAAAAAAAAGAUUUUCCUAAAUUUCGCCAAAGUGUAAUGAUUUGAAUAUUGCGUCCAAAAUCUAGUGGCACACAAAGAAUGAAACUAGUGGGGGACACAUUGUUCACCUUCUUUAUGUUUCACUUCUUAUUUCGAUUAUACGCAAUUUAAGCAACCAAAGAAAUCUCAUUUCUUUUGUCGAUUGUAAGAUUAAAAAACGGUAAUCGCUCUCAAGUGACCCAACAGUGCCUGACGUUUGUAUUGUCUAGAUGACUCCUAGAACUUGUUCUGCUAUAAAAAUAAACCUAUAAAAGUUAUAGAUAAAAUGAUAUAUACACGCACUUAUUUCCAACGUUUUAAUGAUAAAUUAAGUUUUUGAACGUUUUGGCAUAUACCACAUUUUAGAAAACUGCUUUUCCUUUAAAGAUUCCAAGUUGGCCAAGAAAGAUGCAUUAUGAUAGUGACAUAUAUAUAAUCAGUGCUUCAUGUCUACCGCCAUGUUUAUAACCCAUGCUUUCCACUGCCAAGUGUGACUUCAACUAGAUAUUUAUGGUUCGAGUUUAAUAAUUAAUCAAAAGACAACUGUAACUUUAUUUCCUUGUCGAUGAACUUAAAUUAUCCCACUUCUUCAAGCUUUCAAAGCCAAUGUCUCACUUUUCUUGUGAAUCCCAAAAUCCACUUGUGUACCAUCCAAGCAUUCAGCAACUUUACAAUUGCAUGCCCUUCCAAUUUCACUCUUGUAUAACUUUCGGCUUCAAAGAUCCUGUAUUGUUGUUAUCAAUAAAGCUUGAAAUGUAAUUCCAGAGCCGUUACGACAUUAGCAAAAUGAUUGCUUUGGAGACAAUCGAAGGCUCAGCAUUAAUACAAGUGUUAAUUAUCUUGUCAUUGACUUGCUUGAUCGGUACAACUUUGUGGGGACUUUGAGAAUUCAACCAUUCGCUAGAGUGUCAUGAUCUAGUGCAAAUUGCAAAACUUCUUGAUUCCAUUGAUUGCAUGUAUUUCCAUCUAAAACUAAUAUAUUUAGGCUUCUUCAUAUUCACCAUAUACAGUAGCCACAUAGCCAAUAAAAACGCUAUGUUUAAACUAAAUGCUAAUUUAAGUUUCCGCCAUUGAACAAUCAAAAGCUAUAUAAAAUCUCAUAAUUAUGUAAAUAUACAAUUUUUUGGAACACUAUUAUUUAAAUACAUUUAACUUAUAUUUACUUAUAUAAACACAAGUAUACAUCUUUUCAAAAGAAUUUAAAACAUCAAACAACCUUUCAUUUACAUGCUAUAAUACUGUUGAUGAGAAAAGGAAAAAAGGAAAGUGGAACUUGAAAGUGUGAGUAUGAGUAUGAGGAUGAGUAUGAGUGGGUGCUUAUAAUACAUGUCAUGUCAUAUCAUGUCUUAGGUGAAGGAAAGCCAAACUCCACUUUACUCAGAACUAUACAUUCACUAAACAAGCUGAGCACAACAUAUCCAGCAAAUCAUAUGAGUUGCAGGUUUCCAUAAGUGGCAAAAGGCUCAUCACCCUUCAGUCAUAACCAAUUGCUUUUCAACUUGUCCUACCAGUAGUGAUUAUAUAUCACUCCUUCACUACCACUGAAACUCACAUCAUCCUUCAAAGUGUACACCGACAAUAGAUUAUUAUUAUAUACUGCUUUUUUGUCAAGGGAUUAAUAUUUUCCAUAUAUAAAACUCAAUUUUUUUUUUUGUAACACAAACCUCAAUCUAUUAAUAGUUGUUUUGAGUAACUAAUACAUACCACUGCGGUAUUAAUGGAUGCUUUUCAUAUAUUUCAAAGUACUGCUUCUGAACUAAUGAAUAGUAAUUAUUCAAUUUGUUUUUUGAAUGUCUAGAAGUUCUGGAUCCGAAGGUAUGUAUAUUCUCUAAGGUGAGACUUAUACCAUUUUAAAUUAAAUCUUUUAAAAGAGAAGAUCCUCCCAACGGAAACUGAACCUAUAACCCUUUGGAUUCCUACUAGGUAAUUUCGGAGUUUUAGCCACUAGUUAAACUCAUGUUUAGUUCGAUUAUUCAUUGUCGUACUUCAAACACUUUACUAAAUAUCAUAUUGGAUGAUACAGAUAUCUCUCUAUAUAUGUAUAUGUUUUCUGAUAUGUUCUAGAUUUGAUCAGUUCGGUAAAAUACAUUUAGUUCUACAUAAUAGAUUUCUCUCUGAGUGAUCACUAUACUGUUUAAUCCGAGUUUAAAAUAUUUUUCAACUAAUGUCAGAAGUAAUUGAAACGCAUGUAACAAACUACCAAAUAAUUAUUUAUGGUCGAAGUCCAAACUCAAACUUGUCAUGCAGCUAUGAUUUUGUUUUAAAGGUAGCUCGAACUUCAAGAAACGUGUUUCAGAUAUAUGUAUUUGUUGUGAUUCUUUUGGUUUGUAUAUGUUGUGAUUUUUGCAUUCAAUCUUCAGCCAAAGUACUCGCACUAACCACUAUCAAAAUACUCAUCCUUGAUGAGACAAUCGAUCGAACACAUUGAAAACAAGAACACAGAUAAAACAAUAAUAAUAACUUUGUCUAACUAAUGAAACAUAGUAAUUACUUCAAGGUGUAUUCCAUUAUAGUUUACAAUAUAGUCAAUUUCGUAAUUAAAUCUUAGCUUGGAAAAAUAACACUCAAAAAUAUUGUGGAUUCAACGUGGCUCCUACGAAAAUUAUAUCUGUUCACGCAGAUUCUCCUCCCAGAACAGUGCCAUGGUGUAUUCUGUUGUUAGACCCUUUUUGGUAUAUAGCUCUAUAUAGAUAUUUUGGUAACGGAACAUAUUGGAUGAUAGAUAGUGUGGCACAUACAGUAAAUCGAACAGUUUUCAUAGUCCCACAUUCAUUUUAUAUGAUAUUUACUGAAACAGCAUAUUAUUAUAUUAGUCCUGACCACUCCUGAAUCUUAUUUAUACUAUUCUGAACAGUUCUAUAUUGUGAGUUUUGUGUAAUUAUCUAAAUUUUCACAACAAAAUUAUUAAUUUGUGUUUAAUUUGUCCGUCAGUAUUCAAAAAGAAUAUAUAAACAAAACUAGAAUAAAUCGUGGAUGUGCAUGUGCAUGUACAUGUAGCACUUGAGCCAGCUAUAAUGCUAGACCCCUAAUUUAAAAUAUCGCCAAAAUAAUUGGGCCUAGAAGUUUGGGCUCCAUAUACAUGGGCCGAAGAUUAUCUGAUUAUUCCGCCUCCCACUGACGCAAACGUUUUCAAAACGGAAAGGAAGUGAGAUAUUUUUCCAGCGACGAAGAAACCAUGGCGGGAAUCGAUACGCAGAAGCAGCUUCUCUCUCUGAUCCGCGACUUCACCUCUGAAAGAUCUCGUGGAGAGCAAAGAGUGGUUGGAUUGAAGAAGCGGAUCGAGUCUCUGCAAUCGGAAGUUGAAGCAGCGAACGAAGAAGUUGAAAAGGCGAAACGAAUCAAAGAAGUGGCGGAAGAGGAGCUCAACGGCUACGAAGUUGAAUCGUCUUUGAACGAUGCUACGAUUCAAUCUCUUGAGGCAAGGAUUGCUCUUCUUCAGGAUGAAGUUUCUACUGUUGGCAAUGAAGUAGAUGCUCUCAAGAACAAGGAAGGAUUACUUAGAGAUCAAUUUAUAAGCCAAAUGGUUGAGCUGAACAAGGAAAUAAGGGUGUUCCAGAGAACUGUAGCCUCCAGUGUGGGAAAUGAUGAUAGUACUAGCAUAACAGCAACAGAUGUUGAAGUUUUUGAGGAUGGUCAUGGAGCUGAUUCACAAGCUAUCAAGGAUAUGCUAUCUGAUGUAAAUUCUCAAUUAGCAAAAGAGGAGGAAGGAUACUUAGCGGAGCAGAACAUAAAAGAACAGCUGCAGAAAGAGCUUGAUGAAUAUGAGAAGAAGAUGUCACUCAUGGAGGCCAUAACAGAGAAAACAAACUCAGUGCAUGCUCUCGCUACGCAGAGUUCUGAGCUGGAACAGACAUUGGCUUCACUGGGGGAGGAGCUGCAGAAGAGAUGCCGAUGCCAACAUUGCCAGGCAGAAAAUUUGGAAGUCUUGAGCUUACUUCUCCAAGGAGACCAGGAUAUGGUGGUGUCUUAGUUAAAGAGAAUCUUACAUGUGGGUUGCUUGAGGGAAGAUUGAUUUACUCAGGUUCCAAAAUCUCGCAGAGGAUAGAGACCAAAACCAGAAAACUAAGAGCAAAAAGAAGAGAGAAAUGAAAUAACCUUGGAGACGGCUUUCAUGAAGGUUACAUCAUUGAAAGAACCACCUAUGUCAUUCAGUAGUAAGCCGGUGAAGAAAAAUAUAAUAGGAGCGAUGAAGCCAUCACCAAUGGCUCCGAUUAAUCCUAAUCCCAUCAACAUCCAGUCCACACCGUCCGCGUUCAUAAAAAUCAAUCUUAUGCUUCCCCAAAUCUUCAUUUUAACUUUCUCCUUUUCCUUCACCUCUAAACUGUUUGAGAGAAAAGACCUGUACGACACCUUAACCUUAAGGAAACGAUAGCUCACUCACAGCAUUUUUUAGGCGCCUUUUCUUGUGUAGUGUUGUGGUUCUCCCGUCCCUGGUCGUUUUAUAUUAGCAUGUGAGACACAGAAAGAUUACUACACGAAAGUUUGAUUCUUAUAAAAUGUGUUUAUUAUAAUU